Molecule: ribosomal RNA, 252 nt
Filed under: uncultured Bacteroidales bacterium
Lineage: Bacteria; Pseudomonadati; Bacteroidota; Bacteroidia; Bacteroidales
Description: partial 16S ribosomal RNA
Rfam family: Bacterial small subunit ribosomal RNA
Source: RNAcentral
UACGGAGGAUGCGAGCGUUAUCCGGAUUUAUUGGGUUUAAAGGGUGCGCAGGCGGAUUUUUAAGUCAGCGGUCAAAUCGUGGGGCUCAACCCCAUCCAGCCGUUGAAACUGGGGAUCUAGAGUGUGCGAGAGGUAUGCGGAAUGCGUGGUGUAGCGGUGAAAUGCAUAGAUAUCACGCAGAACCCCGAUUGCGAAGGCAGCAUACCGGCGCCCGACUGACGCUGAUGCACGAGAGCAUGGGUAGCGAACAGG